GAAUCUUGGACAAUGGGGGCAACCCUGAUCCAGCGACGCCGCGUGGGUGAUGAAGGCCUUCGGGUUGUAAAGCCCUUUCGACGGGGACGAUGAUGACGGUACCCGGCGAAGAAGCACCGGCUAACCCCGUGCCAGCCGCCGCGGUAAUACGGAGGGUGCAAGCGUUGUCCGGAUUCAUUGGGUUUAAAGGGUGCGUAGGCGGAUUGCUAAGUCAGUGGUGAAAGGCAGCGGCUCAACCGUUGAGUUGCCAUUGAUACUGUCAGUCUUGAGUGCACUAGAGGUAAGUGGAAUUUAUGGUGUAGCGGUGAAAUGCAUAGAUACCAUAAAGAACACCAAUAGCGAAGGCAACUUACUAGAGUGUAACUGACGCUGAGGCACGAAAGCGUGGGGAGCGAACAGG
RNAcentral lists this ribosomal RNA (400 nucleotides) under uncultured bacterium. RNAcentral describes it as "bacterial SSU rRNA". It matches the Rfam family "Bacterial small subunit ribosomal RNA", at positions 359 to 776 of the family's 1533-position model. The record is from RNAcentral.